CCGAGACCUCGAUGGACUUGCCUGGGGACAACAUCCCAAAGGAUGGCAUCUUGAACUUGGGCAUUUUGAACUUGCUGUCUUUGGCAGUCACGUCCUUGUCAGCCAGGGACAGGUCCCCCUCCAGCCACGCACCAUCCAGCUUGGCUCCCGGGGCCUCGACAUCCACCUCCACGCUGGGCUGAGACACCUCCACGUCGGGGGCCAUCAC
RNAcentral lists this long non-coding RNA (208 nucleotides) under Homo sapiens (human). Its description in RNAcentral is "HSALNT0216744". Lineage: Eukaryota; Metazoa; Chordata; Mammalia; Primates; Hominidae. The record is from RNAcentral.